RNAcentral lists this ribosomal RNA (496 nucleotides) under uncultured bacterium. RNAcentral describes it as "partial 16S ribosomal RNA". It matches the Rfam family "Bacterial small subunit ribosomal RNA", at positions 28 to 506 of the family's 1533-position model. The record is from RNAcentral.
GAUGAACGCUGGCGGCGUGCCUAAUACAUGCAAGUCGAGCGAACAGAUGAGGAGCUUGCUCCUCUGACGUUAGCGGCGGACGGGUGAGUAAAACGUGGAUAACCUACCUAUAAGACUGGGAUAACUUCGGGAAACCGGAGCUAAUACCGGAUAAUAUAUUGAACCGCAUGGUUCAAUAGUGAAAGACGGUUUUGCUGUCACUUAUAGAUGGAUCCGCGCCGCAUUAGCUAGUUGGUAAGGUAACGGCUUACCAAGGCAACGAUGCGUAGCCGACCUGAGAGGGUGAUCGGCCACACUGGAACUGAGACACGGUCCAGACUCCUACGGGAGGCAGCAGUAGGGAAUCUUCCGCAAUGGGCGAAAGCCUGACGGAGCAACGCCGCGUGAGUGAUGAAGGUCUUCGGAUCGUAAAACUCUGUUAUUAGGGAAGAACAAAUGUGUAAGUAACUAUGCACGUCUUGACGGUACCUAAUCAGAAAGCCACGGCUAACUACGU